This is a long non-coding RNA of Eriocheir sinensis (Chinese mitten crab), 163 nucleotides long. RefSeq lists it as uncharacterized. The record is from RefSeq and is a predicted model, not a curated record. The transcript has 3 exons. NCBI's taxonomy places the organism in Eukaryota, Metazoa, Arthropoda, Malacostraca, Decapoda, Varunidae.
UGGCAAACAGGCAGUGUAUGAACGUCCCUGGAGGUGCCUGACGUGCAGUGAUAAUGUGGAGAGGAAUCAACAUCCGUUACCAGGACACCUGCGCGGGUUACCUGGCCACUGCCCUAAUCAAGUUACUUGGACGAUGACGGGGUAUGAGGAGCGUAAGUGUUAC